UAAGACAGAGGUGCCGAGCGUUAGGCGGAAUCACUGGGCUUAAAGCGUGUGUAGGCGGAAGCGUAAGUGCCUUGUGAAAUCCCACGGCUCAACCGUGGAACUGCUGGGCAUACUGCGUUUCUUGAGCCAAUCAGGGGUCGUCGGAACAAACGGUGGAGCGGUGAAAUGCGUAGAUAUCGUUUGGAACGCCAAAGGCGAAAGCAGACGACUGGGAUUGCGCUGACGCUGAGACACGAAAGCCAGGGGAGCAAACGGGAUUAGAUACCCCGGUAGUCCUGGCCCUAAACGAUGUCCACUGGGUCGUGGCGCCUCUGACGGCGUCGCGGCCGGAGCAAAAGUGUUAAGUGGACCGCCUGGGAAGUACGGUCGCAAGGCUA
RNAcentral lists this ribosomal RNA (377 nucleotides) under uncultured bacterium. RNAcentral's name for it is "bacterial SSU rRNA". It matches the Rfam family "Bacterial small subunit ribosomal RNA", at positions 521 to 896 of the family's 1533-position model. The record is from RNAcentral.